AGAACAACGAAGGAGGACACAUGGAGUUUGUAUGCGCUCGCACCAAUAUUGUUUUUAUGAGCAACAACUUGUUGAAUUCCCCGUUCAUUCGACAGCUUUCAUGGACUUGAAGGGGGUUGAAGGUUCCAGACACGCAUACAUCCUUUGUUGUACUGGAGUUUGUCUUUUGGGGACAGAUGGUGCUGGCUAUGCCAGUAGUGUACUGAGAUUUGAUUGGCUGGCAGGGUACUGAACACGCUAUUGAAGAGAUCUACAUCAGGGGUGUCACUCAUUCCAUAGAGCCUAGUGUCUGCGGGUUUUGAGUUUCUUUCAGUUAACCUCUAUGGGCUAGGUGGGACGCUAGCGUGCCACCCGUGGUGCACUCCAUCAACAGCAGACGUGCAAAUGCUGCCCCCUAGCCCUAACAGGUUAAGGCUUAGACAGCCAGGUGAUGGAGUGACCUUAACUCAUCAAUCGAGUACAGGGAGCAGCGAAAACCUGCAUACACUCGGCCCUUCGUGCAAUGAGUUUGACACGCGAUCUACAUCUUGUUUUUGAGUUAAUGGGCCAGGAUGUAUAUUGAAGACUGAUGUAAAUCUUGCCCUGUGAUUGGGUUUGAUCCAGUAUGUGGAAUAUGAAGACUUAAAUCUCAACCCUAUGGUGAGUGUCUGAUGGCUAAAAGUAGCCAAUUGUUUUCCUUCAGUCUUCUACUGGAGUUGUGAUGACCUCUCACUUUUGCUGUUUACCGAUCUGACUAAAUUGGGAUGCUGUGACUAACUGAACUGCCAGUAUUAGCAUUGAUCAUUAUAGGUAGAUGCAGAGAGCAUAGUGGGUCAAUUUCCACAACUAAGAGUGUUGAAGCGUGAGCAUCUCGCUUAGCUCAAUAUCUGCGGUGCACCUCGUGGCAGCGGCAUUGCAGGGUCUACCUUCAAUCAUUAAACCUGCAAUCCCUGAGUAAGUUUUGAGACUUCUUAUUUCAUCAUGCAGGAUUGUUAGACCUGCAGUAGGGGAGUUAUUUCCUGGGUUGUGAGGUGUCAACUAAGAUUUUCCUACCCAUGUUAAUUCAUUUUUAAUGGAAUUGUGAUGCCUUUUCUGCUAAUUUACCCUGCUGAAAAGCCAUUCAUUUGAAUUACCAGCAUUGUAACUAAACCCACAAUGGUGGAAGGCUGUAAAGUAGUUUUAGGUUGCUGGCUAAUCUCAGACAAUGGUCAUUUGCGUUUAACUGAUUUCUUCUAUUCAUUGACACAAUUCACAAGGUUUGGAAAGCGGUGCAUGUACUCCUUCACACAUGUGACCCUGGAGACCUAAACUAUCACCCUAUUUUCAACUUUCUUGUCUGUCAAAAAAGCACAGCCUUGGUCUGACUCCCCUGCCUAAAUUUAAGGUUAAAUGUUUGUUUUUAAUCAGAUUGUAUUCUGCGCUGUUAUGAAAUAAAACAUUUUAUGGUA
Salmo salar (Atlantic salmon) is the source of this 1427-nucleotide long non-coding RNA. RefSeq lists it as uncharacterized. The record is from RefSeq and is a predicted model, not a curated record. Lineage: Eukaryota; Metazoa; Chordata; Actinopteri; Salmoniformes; Salmonidae.